Molecule: non-coding RNA, 27 nt
Filed under: Mus musculus (house mouse)
Lineage: Eukaryota; Metazoa; Chordata; Mammalia; Rodentia; Muridae
Source: RNAcentral
ACGCUCCGGUAGAAUAUGUGCAGAUUG